AACACUAUUUUACUAAGGAGCCUCCGGUGGCACAGUGGGUUAAACAGCUGAGGUGCUGAACUUGCUGACCAAAAGAUUGAUGGUUCAAAUCCAGGGAGCGGGAUGAGCUCCUGCUGUUAGCCCCAGCUUUUGCCAACCUAGCAGUUUGAAAACAUGCAAAUGUGAGUAGAUCAAUAGGUACCACUCCAAUGGGAAGGUAACAGCGCUCCAUGCAGUCAGGCUGGCCACAUGACCUUGGAGGUGUCUACAGAGAAAGCCGGCUCUUCAGCUUAGUAAUGGAGGUGAGCACCAACCCCCAGAGUUAGACACGACUAGACUUAAUGUCAGGGGGAAACCUUUACCUUUUUUUUUUAACUAAUCCAUUGUAUAGAAGGGUAUUUGAACAUCCAUAGAUUUGAGUAUCUACAGGAGAUUCUGGGACAAAACCCCUUAAGGUACCAUGUUGGUUUUUACACCAUCAUUCCAUACUAUAACUGUCCACUUCCUAAACUGAGCACUCCAGGAUUUCAUAAAUUUGAACAGUUUGGAUUGUAGCACUGUUGAGGAGUGACUUUGUAAAUGUGUUGUUAGAAUCAUGAAAAGUUUUAAUGCUCUUUUUAUUAGAGUUUCCAAAAGAAAACACAAGCAAGUCCUGCUUGAAGAGAAUGAUGGCCUGAUAUGACUAAGGGAAAGAAGCAGCAGAUGAGACAGCAGGAAUAACUAUGAAAAUAUUUGGAGGAAAGUAAUGGCAGCAAGUUCCACUUGGUUGUCAUAUGAGUUUACAAUUAUCCAAACACAUUCCAUAUAAGGAAAAAUGGUUUAUUGGGGUGAGUUAAAAUUGGGAAUGGUUAAAGAAGCAGGAAAUCGCAUUCAAAGCACCCCCGACAGAUGGCCAUCCAGCCUCUGCUUAAAAGCUUCCAAAGAAGGAGCCUCCACCACAGUCCGGGGGAGAGAGUUCCACUGCCGAACAGCUCUCACAGUGAGGAAGUUCUUCCUGAUGUUCAGGUGGAAUCUCCUUUCCUGUAGUUUGAAGCCAUUGUUCCGUGUCCUAGUCUGCAGGGCAGCAGAAAAUAAGCUUGCUCCCUCCUCCCUAUGACUUCCCCUCACAUAUUUGUACAUGGCUAUCAUGUCUCCUCUCAGCUUCUCUUCUGCAGGCUAAACAUGCCCAGCUCUUUAAGCCUCUCCUCAUAGGGCUUGUUCUCCAGACCCUUAAUCAUUUUAGUCGCCCUCCUCUGGACGCUUUCCAGCUUGUCAGCAUCUCCCUUCAUCUGCGGUGCCCAAAAUUGGACACAGUAUUCCAGGUGUGGUCUGACCAAGGCAGAAUAGAGGGGGAGCAUGACUUCCCUGGAUCUAGACGUUAUUCCCCUAUUGAUGCAGGCCAAAAUCCCAUUGGCUUUUUUAGCUGCUGCAUCACAUUGUUGGCUCAUGUUUAACUUGUUGUCCACGAGGACUCCAAGAUCUUUUUCGCACACACUGCUGUCAAGCCAGGCGUCCCCCAUUCUGUAUCUUUGAUUUCCAUUUUUUCUGCCGAAGUGAAGUAUCUUGCAUUUGUCCCUGUUGAACUUCAUUUUGUUAGUUUUGGCCCAUCUCUCUAGUCUGUCAAGAUCGUUUUGAAUUCUGCUUCUGUCUUCUGGAGUGUUAGCUAUCCCUCCGAGUUUGGUGUCAUCUGCAAACUUGAUGAUCGUGCCUUCUAACCCUGUCAUGCUUAAGGACAUCACUAGGAACUUUUAAUAUAAACCUCAUAACAAUAUCAGAUCUCAUCUCUUAUGGUAUUAGAAAGGAUUAUUGCUGUGAGUCUGAUUUCUUGGUGCCUGGGUGGUUCUAAACUGGCAGUCUGUAAUCUGCUGGUUCUUGACUACACGGCUCUCAUUUCCCAAAAUGUUUAGUAUUGUUGAUAUUUUUCAUUUCUCAUACAGCAGGGAUGUAAUCAUCAAACAGCAAAUUGAUCAAGACUGCCAAAAAUAUCUUUAUAUUCCCAAUUAAUUUGAGAAGUUUUCUAGAGAAAGACUAUUUCUGCAAUUCAUAUGUUCCUCUUUAGCAAAGUUCCUUGCAAUAAUACUGCCCUCUUGUGGAACAAAGAAGAGAUGGCGGAGGUCUAGUUAAUUGAACUAGUGCUAAAAGUUAUCAUGUUCGGUAUACAUAUGAAGCAUCCUUCAGGGUUACUCUAUAGUCAACUUAUGCUAGAAGUUAACCGCCGAAUCACUCUGGAGGACAAAGCAAUUUCUUGAGAAAUAUUUUAUGAUAAUGAUGAUGAUGAUGAUGAUAAUAAUAAUAAUAAUAAUAAUAAUAAUAAUAACAAUAACAGCAGGAAAAACUCAGCCGCUAUCAGGACCUCAAA
Molecule: long non-coding RNA, 2317 nt
Organism: Anolis carolinensis (green anole)
Lineage: Eukaryota; Metazoa; Chordata; Lepidosauria; Squamata; Anolidae
Source: Ensembl